Pseudopipra pipra is the source of this 2135-nucleotide RNA transcript. RefSeq lists it as uncharacterized. The record is from RefSeq and is a predicted model, not a curated record. The transcript is spliced from 5 exons. NCBI's taxonomy places the organism in Eukaryota, Metazoa, Chordata, Aves, Passeriformes, Pipridae.
UGUUCUCUCUGGACUCCCGUAACAAACACCAGUGAACACGCAGGUCCUUUCUCCCUGAAGCCGCUGACGGAUGUCCCACCCUGGGUAGUGAAUGCAAGGGACCAUGUGUGCAGUGCUUACGGAGUCUGUUAAUGGGUGUCCUACUCCCUGGCAGUCCACCCACCAGGCAAUGCACUGAAUGGGCCCGUGAGACUGAAUGGGGCUCUACGUAACGGCAGCCAAUUUUCCUGGUCAACAGGGAGGCGCGGUGCCAAGGCUGUGUGUGAGAGCCUGCCGCUGGGAGGGUUUACCCCUUCUCCUCUGUUCCUGAGCCCUGGGGAGUGGCAUAGACUGUUCUCUGCUCAUCCUGCAGAGACCUGGGAUGCUCUGGGCUACUCAUUUGCUCCCUGUGACCAGCACUGCACUUACACAUGUUCAAAGUAGGUAAGAGUUCGGAUUCUCCCUCUCUCAGGAGGUUCCUGACUCUGCAGUGGAUCUUCAGAGGUAGGAGCACUGCAGAAGUCCUGGGUAUCCUGGAGCUCCCAUAUAGCACAGGAAAAAUCUAUUAUGGGAAAGCUGCUAAUAGCAGAGGUAAGCUCUUACCCACAUUUUCCACUGGUGUUACAGACUCUGGAGAAUCAGCUUGUUUCAGCCAGGUUCCCAAACUGCUUUUUGGUGUUUAUCCAAAACAAGCCUGUGCAUUGACAUUUCCUAUCCCAAAAUUGUCUAACCAAAUUAAAGGAAUGAACCCAGUUGCACAGAUGCUGCUCCAUUAUGCUUCUACAACUGGAGUGGGGCCAGAACACAACCCCAGCUCAACUUCCCUCUUCUCCCCCAAAAAGAGCCAUAUGAGGACACUGAAGCUCAGUCCAGAUCUAACUUUCGCAGCCAACCCCUUUCUAUGUGGUGAGUAAAAUCCUAAUGCACUUUAAAGCAGUUCAGAAACAUGGCCAUGUGUAACUGUUGGGCAUUUGACCAGUAGGGUUCAUAAUGCUGUUCAGUUUGGACUAUUUGGGUUACAAAAAUCCAUCCCAUAAGGAUGGUCUGUCACUUGCAUGUCUUCAUGUUGACUUAAAGUUGGGCCCUUUUGUUUUGCAUGCUUUCUCGCUUUCCAAGGCAUGUGUGUUGCUCUUCUAGCCAUCUCCUUAUGGUGAUGAGACUCGGGGCCACACAUUCUGUAAUCUGGGAUUUUCACAGCUGCUGCUCUUUGGAAUGGUUGCAAGAGGUGCUGAGUUGGGUGGGAUGACCUGUUGCUCUCUGGUUUAUUUCUUUAGAGCAUCUCUAACAAGAAAGACUGUAAGAUAUAUAAUUAAAAUACUUCUAGAUUACCAAGUCUUGUCUUGUCAAACUUCUUGUUAUGACUCCUUGUGAAUGUGACAUUUGUGAGCUGUUUUACCACAGCUUUUAAUCACUUUUUGGUGAGAAAAGAAGUUACAUAAUUCAAGCUUUUCCUUCUUCCUUCUCUUUUUUGCACUCAAAUUUACCAUAUUUGCAGAUAAACUGUGCCUAUGUCAGCAGCUGGUGUGGUGCAGCAGGAAGCAGAUCCACAGAGGUGGCUGUUUUGUGCCAAGGACUUGGUGCUCUCAGACCCAGGAGAUGAGACCACUGUUUUACCUGAACACAUGCCAUGGGGGCACACCAUGGGUUGGGUGAGGGAUGCUGCUCUCCCAGGACCUCUUGCAACACAUUGUCUUGGAGAUGUUUCAUAAGGCAGGGACGAAUUCCCCCCCUUUGGACACGUGUCGCCUCCCAGAACUAAACAUUCACAUGUCACAUCCUGUUCGAGGAGUUGUUUUAAUGGAUGCGCUGCCAACAAAGACACUUGGGUUUCGAUGGCUGAUCCUUUGCAAUUGUAACGGCAUUUAAUGAAAGGUUUUGUCUUUGGAAGGACAAAAUAUCCUUUAUCCAGCUUCAACUUUUGAAGGAAACACUACAAACAUUUUUGGAUUGGAUGUGAAAUGUUGUGUAAAUUCUGUAAUACCAAGGGAGAAAAUAUGUCCUUUCCUUAUUAACAAACUGUAUAUCAAAACAAGAGUGCUUAAAGCCUAAAUGGUUUUAUACACAAUGAAUUCAUCAGAGUUUUACAUCCCCAGUAAGGGGAGUAUUUAAAUACAGAUAAAAUGUGCAAAAAUAAUUUAUAUAUGAAACUAAAGAUA